Non-coding RNA from Schizosaccharomyces pombe (fission yeast), 1396 nucleotides. NCBI's taxonomy places the organism in Eukaryota, Fungi, Ascomycota, Schizosaccharomycetes, Schizosaccharomycetales, Schizosaccharomycetaceae. The record is from the annotation of a GenBank genome assembly.
AAAAAGUAAUAGCUAGUAACCAUCAACACCUAAAGAUUUUUAAAACCCGAAGAAAAACCGCAACCGAAAACCAAAUCCCAAAAUAUAAGCUCUAAGCAACAAUAGCUUUUUUCGUAAGUUGAAAACUCUCAAAAAUCAUUAAGGUCAAAUUCUUUGGCCCACUCAGUAACGAUUUGAGUAUCCUGAACUUCAGAUGAGUUCUUUUCGUUUAUAACCUCAGGCUCGGCCCACCAUUCGAUACGACCAGCAUGCCAGUCAUUAAUGACAAUAUUGGCAGCAGCGUUAAGAUUUGGAAUUCCACCGCGACCUAGACGACCACGCUUACGAGCAAUAUUGACUAAAAAAUCAGUAGCAGUGUCUAUAUCGGAUGUAUUCAAUAGAGGAGGAAGCUCAUAUCUUUGAAACAUUCUUUCCAAUUGUCCUGGAACUCUGCUAAGGAAUUGCAAAAUGUAAGAAGCAACGGCAACGGGAUCAUCAACUUUGGUGGAUGAAACAGCAUUAAGCAUUACAAGACGAUACAAAUCGUCUUUAGAAUCACUAGAAGGAAAAACAAUACCAGGACUAUCGACCAAACGUAAUUUGUUAUCUAGCUUCACCUCUCGCAAAGAAGUAGUCAUUCCGGCAACGUUUCCGGCAGGACAAGGUGCAGAACGACCAUUCGCAGAACGGUUGACAAGAGCGUUAAUAACAGAUGAUUUACCAACGUUGGGGUAUCCAAUUACACCGACUGUAAGAGAGCUUUUAAGCUUCUUCUUGGCUGAGUAAGACUUGAGUGAUUUAAGAAGAUUGGAGAUAGUGGAACUAGCAGAAGCCGACUGGUGCUUUAAAUUUGAGUUUCCAGAUCCUGAAGCGGAACGCAUAGGAAUCGUAGGAAAGAAAUUGCGGAGAUAGGUAACCCACUUGUUGAGUACUUCUGAUGGUACUAAGUCAAUUUUGUUGAUAACGAAAAUAAGACGCUUUUCUUCAGCAGAAGAUGCUAAAACUUGACGUUCAACGUCUUUUGAACGAGUCCCUUCAGGAUCACGAGCGUCAAGAACGUAAAGAAUCACAUCUGACGCUUCAACAACUUUUUUGAACUCCUUAUCAUAUGCCUUUCUAGAGGUAUCUGCCUUCACUGAUGCCUCAUAAGACUCGGAGUCAACUAAUAAAGGGGCCUCUCCAAGGUUGUCUUCUUCCAUCACAAACUCUUCCUCAUCAUCUGGGUUAGACGCUUGUGCAGCCUCAGCUAUCUUUGAAAUCAUUAGGGAUCCAUUUUCAUCAACAGCGUCUUCCUCUUCCAUUGCAGCAUCAACUUGUCCUGAAGCACGACGAGCCAAUUUUUCUUCUUCUCUAAUGCGCUUCUGUUCUUCGAUCUCAGCAAGAAUUUUAUCCUUGUAGGGGAAUGAGUUAGGAAUAC